RNAcentral lists this ribosomal RNA (253 nucleotides) under uncultured bacterium. Its description in RNAcentral is "partial 16S ribosomal RNA". It matches the Rfam family "Bacterial small subunit ribosomal RNA", at positions 524 to 776 of the family's 1533-position model. The record is from RNAcentral.
UACAGAGGUCCCGAGCGUUGUUCGGAUUUACUGGGCGUAAAGGGUGCGUAGGUGGCAGGGUAAGUUCGGUGUGAAAGCUUCGAGCUCAACUCGGAAACGGCAUUGAAAACUAUCCUGCUUGAGGGUCGGAGGGGAGACUGGAAUUCUCGGUGUAGCAGUGAAAUGCGUAGAUAUCGAGAGGAACACAAGUGGCGAAGGCGGGUCUCUGGACGAUUCCUGACACUGAGGCACGAAAGCUAGGGGAGCAAACAGG